AUACAUGCAGUCGAGCGGACAGAUGGGAGCUUGCUCCCUGAUGUUAGCGGCGGACGGGUGAGUAACACGUGGGUAACCUGCCUGUAAGACUGGGAUAACUCCGGGAAACCGGGGCUAAUACCGGAUGCUUGUUUGAACCGCAUGGUUCAAACAUAAAAGGUGGCUUCGGCUACCACUUACAGAUGGACCCGCGGCGCAUUAGCUAGUUGGUGAGGUAACGGCUCACCAAGGCAACGAUGCGUAGCCGACCUGAGAGGGUGAUCGGCCACACUGGGACUGAGACACGGCCCAGACUCCUACGGGAGGCAGCAGUAGGGAAUCUUCCGCAAUGGACGAAAGUCUGACGGAGCAACGCCGCGUGAGUGAUGAAGGUUUUCGGAUCGUAAAGCUCUGUUGUUAGGGAAGAACAAGUACCGUUCGAAUAGGGCGGUACCUUGACGGUACCUAACCAGAAAGCCACGGCUAACUACGUGCCAGCAGCCGCGGUAAUACGUAGGUGGCAAGCGUUGUCCGGAAUUAUUGGGCGUAAAGGGCUCGCAGGCGGUUUCUUAAGUCUGAUGUGAAAGCCCCCGGCUCAACCGGGGAGGGUCAUUGGAAACUGGGGGACUUGAGUGC
Molecule: ribosomal RNA, 615 nt
Filed under: Bacillus sp. PSu5_23
Lineage: Bacteria; Bacillati; Bacillota; Bacilli; Caryophanales; Bacillaceae
Description: bacterial SSU rRNA
Rfam family: Bacterial small subunit ribosomal RNA
Source: RNAcentral